Molecule: ribosomal RNA, 862 nt
Filed under: Diplodina microsperma
Lineage: Eukaryota; Fungi; Ascomycota; Sordariomycetes; Diaporthales; Gnomoniaceae
Description: eukaryotic LSU rRNA
Rfam family: Eukaryotic large subunit ribosomal RNA
Source: RNAcentral
GGGAUUGCCCUAGUAACGGCGAGUGAAGCGGCAACAGCUCAAAUUUGAAAUCUGGCUUCGGCCCGAGUUGUAAUUUGCAGAGGAUGUUUAUGGUGCGGUACCUUCCGAGUUCCCUGGAACGGGACGCCACAGAGGGUGAGAGCCCCGUCUGGUUGGAUACCAAACCUGUGUUAAACUCCUUCAACGAGUCGAGUAGUUUGGGAAUGCUGCUCUAAAUGGGAGGUAAAUCUCUUCUAAAGCUAAAUACUGGCCAGAGACCGAUAGCGCACAAGUAGAGUGAUCGAAAGAUGAAAAGCACCUUGAAAAGGGGGUUAAACAGUACGUGAAAUUGUUGAAAGGGAAGCGUUUAUGACCAGACUUGUGUCGUGUGGCUCAUCCGAGGUUCUCCCCGGUGCACUCCACGCGGCUCAGGCCAACAUCGGUUCUUGUUGGAGGAUAAGAACAGUAGGAACGUAGCUCUCCUUCGGGGGAGUGUUAUAGCCUAUUGUACGAUACUCUGACGGGGACCGAGGACCGCGCUUCGGCUAGGAUGUUGGCGUAAUGGUCAUUAGCGACCCGUCUUGAAACACGGACCAAGGAGUCGUCCAUUAGAGCGAGCGUUUGGGUGUAAAACCCGCACGCGUAAUGAAAGUGAAAUUAGGUGAGAGCUUCGGCGCAUCAUCGACCGAUCCUGAAGUUUACGGAUGGAUUUGAGUAAGAGUUUUAACGGACGGACCCGAAAGACAGUGAACUAUGCUUGAAUAGGGUGAAGCCAGAGGAAACUCUGGUGGAGGCUCGCAGCGGUUCUGACGUGCAAAUCGAUCGUCAAAUUUGAGCAUGGGGGCGAAAGACUAAUCGAACUGUCUAGUAGCUGGUUACCGCC